UUUUAGUCAGGUGCAUGUGGUGAGCAGGGAAGCAUUGAAGGUUUUUGUGUCUGUAGAAGAUGCAGAGACACAAAGUGAAGACAUCAGAGUGUGAUCAGGAGCAAACAUUGUUCUUCCAAAUGUGAAUCUAAGCUUGCGUGUGCUGCCAGCUGGGUGCAGCCUGGGCUAUGUUUCUGUCAUUGAUUUAUCUCAGCAGAAGUUUCUGUUUCUCCAGGUACAGAGAGGACUUUAUCAAAAUGUUCGUAUAAACUGAGAGUCUUUCCACGAUGGAUUCAUGUGGUGGGAGAUAAGAUAGAACUGAGCUACAGGCUGUGGGACACACCUGCAGAACACCAUGGCAGAACCGAGAAGCUUGUCUCCGCCUGACCCUGGGGGGAGGAGAUGCCAGCCGGCAGAGCCCUGCGGAGAGGAGCCUGCUGGAGCCUGCUGGAUGGGUGGGCAGCACGUGAUCACCCCCAUAUAGGGACAUUGGGAAAGUGUGCUGCUGACGUGGCAAUGUGUGAUAGGUCGCUUAGUGAAAAAUAAAAAAAAAACCAUAUAAGGAAAUACUGUGUCUUGAAGAAGUGUAUAAAAACCAGCUUGUUUCUCUCAAUAAAUGUUUCAGAUUCCCUGUCGGUCUCAGUCUGUGCCGUAGUUGUUAUAUCAGAUUCAACCCAAAACUUUCUAAGAUUAACCACACAGAAAAAGUUAAAAGUGGCUUAGCUACAUCCUCUCCUGUUUCAGUGGAGGCCUGCUGUGCCAUGGAGACAUAAAACCACAACUGCUAAAUUACUGUAGUGCUUUUAAUGCAUUCUGUAUUUAUUAUUAGGAACUGCUAUCAUAAGGAGACACACUAAAACUCUACUUUUGCAUGGAUAUCUCC
Corvus hawaiiensis (hawaiian crow) is the source of this 862-nucleotide long non-coding RNA. RefSeq lists it as uncharacterized. NCBI's taxonomy places the organism in Eukaryota, Metazoa, Chordata, Aves, Passeriformes, Corvidae. The record is from RefSeq and is a predicted model, not a curated record. The transcript is spliced from 3 exons.